CCUACGGGCGGCAGCAGUGGGGAAUAUUGCACAAUGGGCGCAAGCCUGAUGCAGCCAUGCCGCGUGUAUGAAGAAGGCCUUCGGGUUGUAAGGUACUUUCAGCGGGGAGGAAGGCGAUAAGGUUAAUAACCUUGUCGAUUGACGUUACCCGCAGAAGAAGCACCGGCUAACUCCGUGCCAGCAGCCGCGGUAAUACGGAGGGUGCAAGCGUUAAUCGGAAUUACUGGGCGUAAGGCGCACGCAGGCGGUCUGUCAAGUCGGAUGUGAAAUCCCCGGGCUCAACCUGGGAACUGCAUUCGAAACUGGCAGGCUGGAGUCUCGUAGAGGGGGGUAGAAUUCCAGGUGUAGCGGUGAAAUGCGUAGAGAUCUGGAGGAAUACCGGUGGCGAAGGCGGCCCCCUGGACGAAGACUGACGCUCAGGUGCGAAAGCGUGGGGAGCAAACAGGAUUAGAUACCCGCGUAGUC
RNAcentral lists this ribosomal RNA (465 nucleotides) under uncultured bacterium. RNAcentral describes it as "bacterial SSU rRNA". It matches the Rfam family "Bacterial small subunit ribosomal RNA", at positions 338 to 795 of the family's 1533-position model. The record is from RNAcentral.